AUUCUUUUUAGUUUACAAAAAUACCUACUUUGGAUGUAGGAGACACUUUUAUU
RNAcentral lists this transfer RNA (53 nucleotides) under Argiope bruennichi. Its description in RNAcentral is "tRNA-Pro". Lineage: Eukaryota; Metazoa; Arthropoda; Arachnida; Araneae; Araneidae. The record is from RNAcentral.